AGAUGGAGGAAUGACAGGAGAGAAAGGUAAUGCAUGCUCACAGAAAUAUCCCUGAAACAAUUCUAGCUGCUUUCCCAAAGCUACGUGCUUCCAAAGAUGUUUGCACAUAGAUUGGCAAAGAACAAGGAUGGGUCAGGCUGGGAGAUAAUUGAGGUCUGGAUGACCUGGGAUUCUCAGCAUGAGGUAGGUGAGGCCUCUGUGACCUCACAAUUGAACCCUGUCCUAGAAAUACAGGUGGUCUUACCUGAGGACAAGCCAGAGUCCAGAAGGAGGGCUUGAACCACAGCAAGUGCAUGUGACUGGGUGACAGCUGCUGAGGCAGAGCCAGCACAUGCCUUGGAACUCCAGUUUCCAAACGACCAGAGGAUGAAGCUCUGAUGUUAUGCUGGUCUCCAGAGUGACAUUCUUAGAAGUCAUUGACUGUAUCAUGGCAGGGCCAGAACUGCUGAAAAUAGACGAAGACUUAGUCAAAGAUUUGUGCAAGCAUGGGAUGGAAAGGAUCGACUACCUACACCCUAAUAUUAAACAGGUACCCUGACCAUGAAAAAUGCUGGACCCCAAAUCAGAAGACAUGGGGACCCAAGAAAUUCCCUGACCCUAAAGAAGCACAGGCCCAGUUAGAGAGGAAACAUAGGCCUGGGCCCAUCAAAUGAAAGAGGCCUGGGCCAGACCAAGAAAAUGAGUGUGCCCAGGCCAAUCCUUACCCUGCAAAGG
Long non-coding RNA from Mesocricetus auratus (golden hamster), 714 nucleotides. RefSeq lists it as uncharacterized. The record is from RefSeq and is a predicted model, not a curated record. The transcript is spliced from 3 exons. NCBI's taxonomy places the organism in Eukaryota, Metazoa, Chordata, Mammalia, Rodentia, Cricetidae.